CCCCCCCCCAGUCCUGUCCUCAACCAUCAGAGAGUCUGAAUCAGUGGGUAGGUUGUUUUUCCCUGCUAUGCCUCAGUGGGAGAGCACCAGCAGUGGGGCUGAAUGUAAUUUAGACGUUUCCCUUUAGGCACAGAUCUAGGAUCAGCGUAGAGUCUUCAGCUCCAACUCUAAACUGACCUCAGUGUCGAGGUGCCACUUCACCUGUCGUCCUCUUACCUGUCGAUGUGCUGACCCUUAUCUAGCUGCAGGAAUCUAAAGAGCGUGGCCUAGAAGACAGGAAAGAGAGGAGGUGAGGGGGAGGGGAGACGUCCCACCACGGAGCUACAGAGUGACAAGAAGAGACCUGUUAGACUGGGAUUGUCUCUCACACACGUACACAGAGAGAAAGAUACAUUAAGACGAGGAGGAUAGAGAACUGUACAUCACAGCAGAGAGAGAGACGAGGAGGAUAGAGAACUGUACAUCACAGCAGAGAGAGAGACGAGGAGGAUAGAGAACUGUACAUCACAGCAGAGAGAGAGAGACGAGGAGGAUAGAGAACUGUACAUCACAGCAGAGAGAGAGACUAGGAGGAUAGAGAACUGUACAUCACAGCAGAGAGAGAGACGAGGAGGAUAGAGAACUGUACAUCACAGCAGAGAGAGAGACGAGGAGGAUAGAGAACUGUACAUCACAGCAGAGAGAGAGACGAGGAGGAUAGAGAACUGUACAUCACAGCAGAGAGAGAGACGAGGAGGAUAGAGAACUGUACAUCACAGCAGAGAGAGAGAGACGAGGAGGAUAGAGAACUGUACAUCACAGCAGAGAGAGAGACUAGGAGGAUAGAGAACUGUACAUCACAGCAGAGAGAGAGACGAGGAGGAUAGAGAACUGUACAUCACAGCAGAGAGAGAGAGAGAGACUAGGAGGAUAGAGAACUGUACAUCACAGCAGAGAGAGAGACUAGGAGGAUAGAGAACUGUACAUCACAGCAGAGAGAGAGAGAGAGAGACGAGGAGGAUAGAGAACUGUACAUCACAGCAGAGAGAGAGACGAGGAGGAUAGAGAACUGUACAUCACAGCAGAGAGAGAGACGAGGAGGAUAGAGAACUGUACAUCACAGCAGAGAGAGAGACUAGGAGGAUAGAGAACUGUACAUCACAGCAGAGAGAGAGACUAGGAGGAUAGAGAACUGUACAUCACAAGAGAGAGAGAGAGACUAGGAGGAUAGAGAACUGUACAUCACAGUAGAGAGAGAGAGAGAGAGACUAGGAGGAUAGAGAACUGUACAUCACAGCAGAGAGAGAGAGACUAGGAGGAUAGAGAACUGUACAUCACAGCAGAGAGAGAGAGACGAGGAGGAUAGAGAACUGUACAUCACAGCAGAGAGAGAGACGAGGAGGAUAGAGAACUGUACAUCACAGCAGAGAGAGAGAGAGAGAGACGAGGAGGAUAGAGAACUGUACAUCACAGCAGAGAGAGAGACUAGGAGGAUAGAGAACUGUACAUCACAGCAGAGAGAGAGAGACGAGGAGGAUAGAGAACUGUACAUCACAGCAGAGAGAGAGAGA
Molecule: long non-coding RNA, 1550 nt
Organism: Oncorhynchus tshawytscha (Chinook salmon)
Lineage: Eukaryota; Metazoa; Chordata; Actinopteri; Salmoniformes; Salmonidae
Source: Ensembl